RNAcentral lists this long non-coding RNA (265 nucleotides) under Oryza brachyantha (malo sina). RNAcentral describes it as "long non-coding RNA (OBRA_LNC002348)". The record is from RNAcentral. Lineage: Eukaryota; Viridiplantae; Streptophyta; Magnoliopsida; Poales; Poaceae.
CAUCGUAUCAGUCAGUUGAUCGACACAUUAUUUCACAUUACAAUUAGUCACUACUAAUCAAUUUACAUUUCAGAUUCGGCACUUUUUGCAGCACGAUGCAUCGAUCUCCACUCUGAUCUUGAUCAUCAGCCAAGAGAUCGACUUUGUAUACAUACAUUGGACGUAACAGCUCGACGGAUUAAUUUUAGCCCCUGGUCCGUAUGAUGGUUAUCGUGCCACUCCCGGCGGUGCGCAGCCGCGUGAAGCCGGCGACCGUUUUGCCCGA